AUUGAACGCUGGCGGCAUGCCUUACACAUGCAAGUCGAACGGCAGCACGGGAGCAAUCCUGGUGGCGAGUGGCGAACGGGUGAGUAAUAUAUCGGAACGUGCCCAGUCGUGGGGGAUAACGUAGCGAAAGCUACGCUAAUACCGCAUACGAUCUAUGGAUGAAAGCGGGGGAUCGCAAGACCUCGCGCGAUUGGAGCGGCCGAUAUCAGAUUAGGUAGUUGGUGAGGUAAAGGCUCACCAAGCCGACGAUCUGUAGCUGGUCUGAGAGGACAACCAGCCACACUGGGACUGAGACACGGCCCAGACUCCUACGGGAGGCAGCAGUGGGGAAUUUUGGACAAUGGGCGCAAGCCUGAUCCAGCAAUGCCGCGUGCAGGAUGAAGGCCUUCGGGUUGUAAACUGCUUUGUACGGAACGAAACGGUGAGCUCUAAUACAGUUUGCUAAUGACGGUACCGUAAGAAUAAGCACCGGCUAACUACGUG
RNAcentral lists this ribosomal RNA (483 nucleotides) under uncultured bacterium. Its description in RNAcentral is "bacterial SSU rRNA". It matches the Rfam family "Bacterial small subunit ribosomal RNA", at positions 30 to 507 of the family's 1533-position model. The record is from RNAcentral.